RNAcentral lists this ribosomal RNA (1250 nucleotides) under Enterococcus faecium. RNAcentral's name for it is "bacterial SSU rRNA". It matches the Rfam family "Bacterial small subunit ribosomal RNA", at positions 46 to 1274 of the family's 1533-position model. Lineage: Bacteria; Bacillati; Bacillota; Bacilli; Lactobacillales; Enterococcaceae. The record is from RNAcentral.
GGCUAUACUGCAGUCGACGCUUCUUUUUCCACCGGAGCUUGCUCCACCGGAAAAAGAGGAGUGGCGAACGGGUGAGUAACACGUGGGUAACCUGCCCAUCAGAAGGGGAUAACACUUGGAAACAGGUGCUAAUACCGUAUAACAAUCGAAACCGCAUGGUUUUGAUUUGAAAGGCGCUUUCGGGUGUCGCUGAUGGAUGGACCCGCGGUGCAUUAGCUAGUUGGUGAGGUAACGGCUCACCAAGGCCACGAUGCAUAGCCGACCUGAGAGGGUGAUCGGCCACAUUGGGACUGAGACACGGCCCAAACUCCUACGGGAGGCAGCAGUAGGGAAUCUUCGGCAAUGGACGAAAGUCUGACCGAGCAACGCCGCGUGAGUGAAGAAGGUUUUCGGAUCGUAAAACUCUGUUGUUAGAGAAGAACAAGGAUGAGAGUAACUGUUCAUCCCUUGACGGUAUCUAACCAGAAAGCCACGGCUAACUACGUGCCAGCAGCCGCGGUAAUACGUAGGUGGCAAGCGUUGUCCGGAUUUAUUGGGCGUAAAGCGAGCGCAGGCGGUUUCUUAAGUCUGAUGUGAAAGCCCCCGGCUCAACCGGGGAGGGUCAUUGGAAACUGGGAGACUUGAGUGCAGAAGAGGAGAGUGGAAUUCCAUGUGUAGCGGUGAAAUGCGUAGAUAUAUGGAGGAACACCAGUGGCGAAGGCGGCUCUCUGGUCUGUAACUGACGCUGAGGCUCGAAAGCGUGGGGAGCAAACAGGAUUAGAUACCCUGGUAGUCCACGCCGUAAACGAUGAGUGCUAAGUGUUGGAGGGUUUCCGCCCUUCAGUGCUGCAGCUAACGCAUUAAGCACUCCGCCUGGGGAGUACGACCGCAAGGUUGAAACUCAAAGGAAUUGACGGGGGCCCGCACAAGCGGUGGAGCAUGUGGUUUAAUUCGAAGCAACGCGAAGAACCUUACCAGGUCUUGACAUCCUUUGACCACUCUAGAGAUAGAGCUUCCCCUUCGGGGGCAAAGUGACAGGUGGUGCAUGGUUGUCGUCAGCUCGUGUCGUGAGAUGUUGGGUUAAGUCCCGCAACGAGCGCAACCCUUAUUGUUAGUUGCCAUCAUUCAGUUGGGCACUCUAGCAAGACUGCCGGUGACAAACCGGAGGAAAGGGGGGGAUGACGUCAAAUCAUCAUGCCCCUUAUGACCUGGGCUACACACGUGCUACAAUGGGAAGUACAACCAAGUUGCGAAAUCCCCGAGGCUAAACU